This is a non-coding RNA of Pelobates cultripes (western spadefoot toad), 240 nucleotides long. The record is from the annotation of a GenBank genome assembly. NCBI's taxonomy places the organism in Eukaryota, Metazoa, Chordata, Amphibia, Anura, Pelobatidae.
ACCCCUCUAGUGGCUGUUAGAAUGAUUGCCACUUUAAGUUACUUGUAGGCACAGUGCUCAGCCUGCAUGGACCACUCAUUAAAUGGACACUGUAGUCACCCAGCUAAUUGAAGUGGUCUGGGUGCUGUGACCCUUUUGCACUUAGAGAACUGCAGUGUUUGCAUUGCAGCUCUAAGUCUGCCCUCUGUGGCUGUCUACCAGAGAGCCACUGGGGGCGUUUCUGGAAUCCAAACAGACUUU